This 61-nucleotide transfer RNA is filed under the name Ictidomys tridecemlineatus (thirteen-lined ground squirrel). RNAcentral describes it as "Spermophilus tridecemlineatus (thirteen-lined ground squirrel) tRNA". It matches the Rfam family "tRNA", at positions 6 to 65 of the family's 71-position model. From Rfam's summary of the family: Transfer RNA (tRNA) molecules are approximately 80 nucleotides in length. Their secondary structure includes four short double-helical elements and three loops (D, anti-codon, and T loops). The record is from Rfam by way of RNAcentral. Lineage: Eukaryota; Metazoa; Chordata; Mammalia; Rodentia; Sciuridae.
UGUAGCUCAGCGGUAGAGUGCUCGCUUAGCACGUGUGAGGAACUGGGUUCGAUUCCCAGCA